This 781-nucleotide transfer RNA is filed under the name Cricetulus griseus (Chinese hamster). RNAcentral describes it as "lncRNA (ENSCGRG00015035684.1)". The record is from RNAcentral. Lineage: Eukaryota; Metazoa; Chordata; Mammalia; Rodentia; Cricetidae.
AACACCAUUCCCCACGACCGCCGUCACAGCCCGUGCUCGCCGCCGAAGGUCCCACCACCGGAGAGCUCCCUCCUCUUGCCCUGGCAGGAAGGUCCUGGGCCCCGGCUCCAUACACCCGGCAGGGGAGCGCCAGGGACACGGAGACCAGAGUCCCGGGUCCACACUGACGGCCAGCUAGUGUUGGGGCCCGUGGGUGGGUGAGUAUCUUUUCGUACACGAAGCCUAACGCAAUUGUGCGCAUGAAAGGCCACCAGCAGAGAAGCUGCCUCGAAGAGCACUGAGGAGCAAGAUGGGCGCGGUGGGUGUCUUCUGCAGGAGUUGGAGGAAAUGGAAUCAGCAAGAGUUUGUGUGGUAAAAAGUAAACAAACCUGUCAGAAGUGGGAUUCGAACCCACGCCUCCAGAGGAGACUGCGACCUUAACGCAGCGCCUUAGACCGCUCGGCCAUCCUGACAGUACAAGCACUCCUGUGUUUGCUCACCUCCCUGAUAUGGGCAUUCCAUGCCUGUUCCUUCGUGGGUGUGAUGGGGCGCCUAGGCUCAUGGCAGUCUAUUAUGGCUUUCCUUCUUGUUUUAAAUAUCUGCUCCAAUAUCCUAUUUCACUGUAAAGGUUUAUGUUUGUUGGUAUGAGUCAGUGACAGUACCUGCAUACCAGACUCAGCAUCAUAAGAGAAAUAAAAUAGAUAAUAAUAUACACCCCUAAAUCUGCUGUCUGAUAAACUUUUUAAAAAAUAUCAUGUUGUUUAUUUUUAUGUGUCUGGUUGCUUAUUCUGUGUGCAUGGGU